GAGUUUGAUCCUGGCUCAGGAUGAACGCUAGCGGCAGGCCUAAUACAUGCAAGUCGAACGAGAUCAGUUCUUUCGGGAACUGGUUUAGUGGCGCACGGGUGCGUAACGCGUAUGCAACCUACCUUCCACAGGGGGAUAGCCCACCGAAAGGUGGAUUAAUACCGCAUAACACCACGGUCCUGGCAUCAGGAUGUGGUCAAAGAUUUAUCGGUGGAAGAUGGGCAUGCGUGCCAUUAGUUAGUUGGUAGGGUAACGGCCUACCAAGACUUCGAUGGCUAGGGGUUCUGAGAGGAUGGUCCCCCACACUGGUACUGAGACACGGACCAGACUCCUACGGGAGGCAGCAGUAGGGAAUAUUGGGCAAUGGCCGAGAGGCUGACCCAGCCAUGCCGCGUGCAGGAAGAAGGCCUUCUGGGUUGUAAACUGCUUUUAUCUGGGAAGAAAACGCCCCUGCGGGGGUAACUGACGGUACCAGAUGAAUAAGCACCGGCUAACUCCGUGCCAGCAGCCGCGGUAAUACGGAGGGUGCAAGCGUUGUCCGGAUUUAUUGGGUUUAAAGGGUGCGUAGGCGGCCCUGUAAGUCAGUGGUGAAAUCCCAGGGCUCAACCCUGGAACUGCCAUUGAUACUGCAGGGCUUGAGUUCGGUUAAGGCGGGCGGAACUGGUGGUGUAGCGGUGAAAUGCAUAGAUACCACCAAGAACCCCGAUUGCGUAGGCAGCUCGCUGAGCCGAAACUGACGCUGAGGCACGAAAGCGUGGGGAGCGAACAGGAUUAGAUACCCUGGUAGUCCACGCCGUAAA
This 800-nucleotide ribosomal RNA is filed under the name uncultured soil bacterium. RNAcentral describes it as "bacterial SSU rRNA". It matches the Rfam family "Bacterial small subunit ribosomal RNA", at positions 9 to 806 of the family's 1533-position model. The record is from RNAcentral.